CUUUCCUACGGGGCGCAGCAGUGAGGAAUAUUGGUCAAUGGCCGUAAGGCUGAACCAGCCAAGUCGCGUGAAGGAAGAAGGAUCUAUGGUUUGUAAACUUCUUUUAUAGGGGAAUAAAGGUAUCCACGUGUGGAUAUUUGCAUGUACCCUAUGAAUAAGCAUCGGCUAACUCCGUGCCAGCAGCCGCGGUAAUACGGAGGAUGCGAGCGUUAUCCGGAUUUAUUGGGUUUAAAUGGUGCGUAGGUUGUUUUUUAAGUCAGCGGUCAAAUCGUGGGGCUCAACCCCAUCCAGCCGUUGAACCUGUG
Molecule: ribosomal RNA, 305 nt
Filed under: uncultured bacterium
Lineage: Bacteria
Description: bacterial SSU rRNA
Rfam family: Bacterial small subunit ribosomal RNA
Source: RNAcentral